GGAUGUGAGGACGAUAAUGGCUGUGGUAUCUGUCAGUCUAGGGUUGAUGUGGCUGAUCUGGCUGGCUAGGUGGGCGUCCCCUUCCUCCCUCACUGUUCCAUGUGCUUCCCUCCUGAAGCUGCACGGUUGGUCAAAGAGGACGACCUUCCCCAAUAGAGGAGAACUGUUCUUCAGUCAAGAGUAUAUGAGUAGCUGUGUUCACCUCCUAAAACCUCCAAACAAGCUCUCAAGAAAGUAAAGAAGCAACUCACAGAAUGGGGAAAAAAAUUUGCAAAGUAUUU
Molecule: small nuclear RNA, 281 nt
Filed under: Prolemur simus (greater bamboo lemur)
Lineage: Eukaryota; Metazoa; Chordata; Mammalia; Primates; Lemuridae
Description: 7SK RNA (ENSPSMG00000016522.1)
Rfam family: 7SK RNA
About the family: 7SK was discovered as an abundant small nuclear RNA in the mid-70s but a possible function has only recently been suggested. Two independent studies have found that 7SK RNA binds the CDK9/cyclin T complex (known as elongation factor P-TEFb).
Source: RNAcentral